AAGGGCGCGUAGGCGGAUUAUCAAGUCUCUUGUGAAAUCUAAUGGCUUAACCAUUAAACUGCUUGGGAAACUGAUAGUCUAGAGUGAGGGAGAGGCAGAUGGAAUUGGUGGUGUAGGGGUAAAAUCCGUAGAUAUCACCAAGAAUACCCAUUGCGAAGGCGAUCUGCUGGAACUCAACUGACGCUAAGGCGCGAAAGCGUGGGGAGCAAACAGGAUUAGAUACCCUGGUAGUCCACGCCCUAAACGAUGUACACUAGUUGUUGGGAUGCUAGUCAUCUCAGUAAUGCAGCUAACGCAUUAAGUGUACCGCCUGGGGAGUACGGUCGCAAGAUUAAAACUCAAAGGAAUAGACGGGGACCCGCACAAGCGGUGGAGCAUGUGGUUUAAUUCGAGGAUACGCGAAGAACCUUACCUGGGCUUGAUAUCCUAAGAACCUUAUAGAGAUAGGAGGGUGCUAGCUUGCUAGAACUUAGAGACAGGUGCUGCACGGCUGUCGUCAGCUCGUGUCGUGAGAUGUUGGGUUAAGUCCCGCAACGAGCGCAACCCACGUAUUUAGUUGCUAACGGUUCGGCCGAGCACUCUAAAUAGACUGCCUUCGUAAGGAGGAGGAAGGUGUGGACGACGUCAAGUCAUCAUGGCCCUUAUGCCCAGGGCGACACACGUGCUACAAUGGCAUAUACAAUGAGACGCAAUACCGCGAGGUGGAGCAAAUCUAUAAAAUAUGUCCCAGUUCGGAUUGUUCUCUGCAACUCGAGAGCAUGAAGCCNGAAUCGCUAGUAAUCGUAGAUCAGCCAUGCUACGGUGAAUA
RNAcentral lists this ribosomal RNA (808 nucleotides) under uncultured Campylobacter sp. RNAcentral describes it as "bacterial SSU rRNA". It matches the Rfam family "Bacterial small subunit ribosomal RNA", at positions 563 to 1368 of the family's 1533-position model. The record is from RNAcentral. Lineage: Bacteria; Pseudomonadati; Campylobacterota; Epsilonproteobacteria; Campylobacterales; Campylobacteraceae.